UGAGGUGGCUAUUGCGCAGGGGCCCCACCCGUUCCCAUCCCGAACACGGUCGUUAAGCCCUGCAGCGCCGAUGGUACUGCUUACGCGGUAGAGUAGGUCGCCGCCUCUC
RNAcentral lists this ribosomal RNA (109 nucleotides) under Balneolaceae bacterium. The record is from RNAcentral. Lineage: Bacteria; Pseudomonadati; Balneolota; Balneolia; Balneolales; Balneolaceae.